Molecule: long non-coding RNA, 309 nt
Organism: Trifolium pratense (red clover)
Lineage: Eukaryota; Viridiplantae; Streptophyta; Magnoliopsida; Fabales; Fabaceae
Exons: 3
Source: RefSeq, a predicted model, not a curated record
GUGUGAAUAACUGAUUACGCAAGUUCCAUAAUCUACAAGGCCGCUUUUAAGGCAAAUUGAAGCCAUGCAGGAAACAAAUGCCAGAAGAGCCGAAGCUUGGGCUGCUGUUGAAAGAAGUCUUAAUUCUCGACUUCAGGAAGCUGAGGCUAAAGCUGCAACUACUGAGGAAAGAGAGCGAUCUGUGAAUGAUCGCUUAUCUCAAACCUUGUCUCGAAUUAAUGUUCUUGAGGCUCAGGUUCUGAAAUUUCUUGAGUGAAAUCAUGUCCUUAAUGAUGGUUUUGUGUACAUGUGACUAACUUCAAUAAUGAA